This 1128-nucleotide ribosomal RNA is filed under the name uncultured fungus. Its description in RNAcentral is "eukaryotic LSU rRNA". The stretch from base 506 to 1128 matches the Rfam family "Eukaryotic large subunit ribosomal RNA", at positions 1 to 649 of the family's 3401-position model. The record is from RNAcentral. Lineage: Eukaryota; Fungi.
AAGUCGUAACAAGGUCUCCGUAGGUGAACCUGCGGAGGGAUCAUUACCGAGUGCGGGCCCCCGCGCCCAACCUCCCAACCCUUUGUCGAACCGUAACCGUUGCCUCGGGGGGCGACCCGGCCGCCGCGCCGGGGGGUCCCCCGCCGGGCCCGUCGAACCACGCUGCGUCUUUGCGUCGGAGUAUUGAAACCAAUCAAUCAAAACUUUCAACAACGGAUCUCUUGGUUCUGGCAUCGAUGAAGAACGCAGCGAAAUGCGAUAAGUAAUGUGAAUUGCAGAAUUCAGUGAAUCAUCGAAUCUUUGAACGCACAUUGCGCCCUUUGGCAUUCCGAAGGGCAUGCCCGUUCGAGCGUCAUUACACCCCUCAAGCCUCGCUUGGUCUUGGGCGCCGGGGUCCCCCCCGCGUCCCCAAUUCGUCGGCUGUCCGGUCGGAACCUCAGCGUUGUGGUCCAUCAAAUCGCUGGCGAGGACGACCGGGCGCGCCGUGAAACCCCCCCUCACAGGUUGACCUCGGAUCGGGUAGGGAUACCCGCUGAACUUAAGCAUAUCAAUAAGCGGAGGAAAAGAAACCAACAGGGAUUGCCCUAGUAACGGCGAGUGAAGCGGCAACAGCUCAAAUUUGAAAUCCGGCGCAAGCCCGAGUUGUAAUUUGUAGAGGAUGCUUCUGGGCAGCGGCCGGUCUAAGUCCCUUGGAACAGGGCGUCAUAGAGGGUGAGAAUCCCGUAUGCGACCGGCUGGCACCCUCCACGUAGCUCCUUCGACGAGUCGAGUUGUUUGGGAAUGCAGCUCUAAAUGGGAGGUAAAUUUCUUCUAAAGCUAAAUACCGGCCAGAGACCGAUAGCGCACAAGUAGAGUGAUCGAAAGAUGAAAAGCACUUUGGAAAGAGAGUUAAAAAGCACGUGAAAUUGUUGAAAGGGAAGCGCUUGCGGCCAGACUUGGGGGCGGUGUUCCGCCGGUCUUCUGACCGGUCCACUCGCCGCCCGCAGGCCAGCGUCGUCUGGGGCCGCCGGAGAAAGGCGGCGGGAACGUAGCUCCCCCGGGAGUGUUAUAGCCCGCCGCACAAUACGGCGCGCGCCGGGCGAGGUCCGCGCUUCGGCAAGGACGCUGGCGUAAUGGCCGUAAGCGGCC